GACGAACGCUGGCGGCGUGCUUAACACAUGCAAGUCGAACGCUGAAGCUCAGCUUUUGUUGGGUGGAUGAGUGGCGAACGGGUGAGUAACACGUGAGUAUCCUGCCCCCUUCUUUGGGAUAACGCCCGGAAACGGGUGCUAAUACUGGAUAUUCACUGGUCUUCGCAUGGGGGUUGGUGGAAAGGGUUUUUCUGGUGGGGGAUGGGCUCGCGGCCUAUCAGCUUGUUGGUGGGGUGAUGGCCUACCAAGGCUUUGACGGGUAGCCGGCCUGAGAGGGUGACCGGUCACAUUGGGACUGAGAUACGGCCCAGACUCCUACGGGAGGCAGCAGUGGGGAAUAUUGCACAAUGGGCGCAAGCCUGAUGCAGCGACGCCGCGUGAGGGAUGGAGGCCUUCGGGUUGUGAACCUCUUUCGCUCAUGGUCAAGCCGCAACAAUGGUUGUGGUGAGGGUAGUGGGUAAAGAAGCGCCGGCUAACUACGUG
This 483-nucleotide ribosomal RNA is filed under the name uncultured bacterium. RNAcentral describes it as "partial 16S ribosomal RNA". It matches the Rfam family "Bacterial small subunit ribosomal RNA", at positions 28 to 507 of the family's 1533-position model. The record is from RNAcentral.